GUGCUCGCUUUGGCAGCACAUAUACUAAAAUUAGAACGAUAUAGAGAAGAUUAUCAUGGCCUCUGCACAAGGAUGAUAAGCAAAUUCGUAAAGCAUUACAUAUUUAA
This is a small nuclear RNA of Arvicola amphibius (Eurasian water vole), 107 nucleotides long. The record is from RefSeq and is a predicted model, not a curated record. NCBI's taxonomy places the organism in Eukaryota, Metazoa, Chordata, Mammalia, Rodentia, Cricetidae.